RNAcentral lists this ribosomal RNA (301 nucleotides) under uncultured bacterium. RNAcentral describes it as "partial 16S ribosomal RNA". It matches the Rfam family "Bacterial small subunit ribosomal RNA", at positions 509 to 807 of the family's 1533-position model. The record is from RNAcentral.
CAGUCGCCACGGUAAUACGUAGGUGGCAAGCGUUGUCCGGAAUUAUUGGGCGUAAAGGGCUCGCAGGCGGUUUCUUAAGUCUGAUGUGAAAGCCCCCGGCUCAACCGGGGAGGGUCAUUGGAAACUGGGAAACUUGAGUGCAGAAGAGGAGAGUGGAAUUCCACGUGUAGCGGCGAAAUGCGUAGAGAUGUGGAGGAACACCAGUGGCGAAGGCGACUCUCUGGUCUGUAACUGACGCUGAGGAGCGAAAGCGUGGGGAGCGAACAGGAUUAGAUACCCCAGUAGUCCCUGUCUCUUAUAC